CAGUCGCCGCGGUAAUACGUAGGGUGCAAGCGUUACUCGGAAUUACUGGGCGUAAAGCGUGCGUAGGUGGUGGUUUAAGUCCGUUGUGAAAGCCCUGGGCUCAACCUGGGAAUUGCAGUGGAUACUGGGUCACUAGAGUGUGGUAGAGGAUAGUGGAAUUUCCGGUGUAGCAGUGAAAUGCGUAGAGAUCGGAAGGAACAUCUGUGGCGAAGGCGACUAUCUGGGCCAACACUGACACUGAGGCACGAAAGCGUGGGGAGCAAACAGGAUUAGAUACCCGUGUAGUCCCUGUCUCUUAUAC
RNAcentral lists this ribosomal RNA (301 nucleotides) under uncultured bacterium. Its description in RNAcentral is "partial 16S ribosomal RNA". It matches the Rfam family "Bacterial small subunit ribosomal RNA", at positions 509 to 807 of the family's 1533-position model. The record is from RNAcentral.